Molecule: ribosomal RNA, 305 nt
Filed under: uncultured bacterium
Lineage: Bacteria
Description: bacterial SSU rRNA
Rfam family: Bacterial small subunit ribosomal RNA
Source: RNAcentral
CUUCCUACGGGACGCAGCAGUGAGGAAUAUUGGUCAAUGGACGAAAGUCUGAACCAGCCAUGCCGCGUGCAGGAAGACGGCUCUAUGAGUUGUAAACUGCUUUUGUACAAGGGUAAACCUGAAUACGUGUAUUCAGCUGAAAGUACUGUACGAAUAAGGAUCGGCUAACUCCGUGCCAGCAGCCGCGGUAAUACGGGGGAUGCAAGCGUUAUCCGGAUUUAUUGGGUUUAAAGGGUGCGUAGGCUGUGAGGUAAGUCAGCGGUGAAAUGCCCCCGCUCAACGGGGUGAAGUGCCAUUGAUACUGC